CGGAAGUGAAGUAUCCAGAGGAAAACACGAAAACACCACUCGAUAUGCGAGAUGGAUGCAGACUUGUGUACAGCAGCCGAUGUGUGUGUGACUGUAGAGUUUUAACACCUGUAGCCACGGCAUGGAGCGUGUCACGUUAUAACACUGCAUGUGUCAACUUCAUGUGUCAACUUCAUGUUGUACCGUUAUUAACCAGCAUGUAGAAUGUCUGUGACACACAUCCUCUUUUGUGAUUCAUUAAGAUACAAUAUAUAGUUGUCAUGGAGACCCAAGGCUUUCAUGGACAGCCUCGAAAAGUUCUCAAACAAAUGUCCAUAAGACGACAGGACUUGGAACGGUCGUCGCAGAAGCUUACCAGUAAUCUGGCACAGUUACAGCGAGUCAACAUGGAACAGGAACAGAGGAUUGACACAACACUGUCAGAACUACAGCAACAGCAGAAACGCACAGAAGAAUUACUGCAUUCUGAUUGGUCGAAUACUAGCUCCGGUCAAGGAGAUCAGAGAAGAUCCUCUGGGUCACAGAGCACAGUCCAGCGUGAGCAAUCAUUCACAAGACAGUUGAAGCAGUGGGGUACAUCCGAUGUUAUUCGGUGGCUAGAAAAUAGGAAACUCCACAAAUUUAUCCUCCUCUUCCAAAGACACCAUGUGGCAGGGAUAGAGCUAGCAGAUCUACAGCUUCCCUUCCUCGAGGGUUAUGACCACAUCAGUAUUGAGGACAGAGAGCUGCUCCUGGCAGAGGUUUACGAGUUACUGAGGCUGGAACAGAACACCGAUGAGGAUGACACCCAUCGCCUCCAGACUGCGGUUGAGCACCAGAAAUACCAAGCAGCCAUUACUCUCGCCAAAGACAAGUCCAGUGCCUUCCAUCGCUCACAGAGUGUACCAGUUGUCCUGGCCUCUGGUCACUCUUCUGUUUUACCAUCAUCUCCAUCAUCAACAACAUCAUCGCCCACACCAAAGCUGCGUAAAAAGUCUGAAUCUGAUGUCCGAGAGUUAAAGUCAGGGGAGGGAGUUGUUACGUUACGCAGACAGAAGGUUCUCAGAGACCCGGAAAGAUCUCCACGAGGUGACACUUUCGUACGUCAAAAUUCUCCUGGUGGAGAUUCACAGUCAAGCACAGGGUCAUUGAAGUCUAGUGGAGGUGGUACACUGAACAAACCUGUGAGGAAGAAGUUACACCAGAAGACUCCUGAUAAACGCUCAUUGUACGGCUUCAUUGAUGGAAAGACUGCACAGGAAGUCUGCUGUGUCCAUCUACGAAAGACCAAUGGUCAGUUUGGGAUGACCUUCCAACUGGACAACAAAGGUCAGUUGAUCAUCGGGUCAGUGGAGGAAAGUCUACAGAGUCGCAGUGUGAAGGCAGGAGACAGGAUUCUGGAGAUGAAUGGUCAUUUGUUGUUUCCAAUGUCAACAAGUGAUGUCCAGCGAUUGGUGGAAGGAGUGACCAGUCAGUGUGAGGAGAUAGAGUUGGUCAUCUGGUGUGACCCUGCUGUCAGGAGAAUGGAAUUGAGAAGCAGUGGAGAGUUCGCAGACAAGCGCUGGUGGGGCUUAAGGAAAGUGUUGACAGACAUGCAAGUACAGGAUAUGGACCCCGACCAAAUUAUCAGCGGUGUGCCACAGAAGGACAUAACAGACCUCAAGGACAGGUGCACACUACAGGAUGAGCUGGUUGAACUGAAAGACCUGGUUAAGGAUCAGCAGAGUGUGAUUGAGGGUCUACAGAAGGAACUCACAGCCAAAGAAGAGUGCAUCUGGGAAUUAAGGCGUCAGAAGGAUGCUGCACUGAAAGCUGCUACAGACCUCCACACACAGUCCAGGAAGGGUGUGUCUAUACAAGGAGAGGCACAGUAUUACAAAAUGACAAUGGACAGUCUCAAGGUCGAAGGUGUUUCCAAGGAAAAAUUGAUGACUGCACUGAAGGAAAUUGUAAAAGAAGCUAGUCGUCAAAAGGUGUACCUAGACCGUCUUAUAUCUGUGGUGAUUGAGGAAUCGCCAUGGAUACUGGAGCAGAUUGACGCAGACUUCGAUGAAAUGGUGCCGGACACCACAGGAGAAUACUGUUGAUCAUUGAAAACUGUUGUCGAUGCUACUUUGUUGGUGCUAUGAUGAAAAGUGUUCGCAAAAUUUCAUUGAAUAUAAAUUUCUAUAUUCGUAUUAACAGACCAAAAAUUAAUCUAAAUAUUCAAAAUUUAUGUUAAAAGAUGAUAGGUAAUAGUGAUGGUUUUUAGUUACCGGAAGUUGUAUGUUAGGUGAUAUGUUUAAUUUUGUAUGUAUAAAAAGUUGACAUUUAUGAAAAAAUAUAUACAUUGUUCAAGAUUGGUUCAUGGUGGACACUUAUGAAGUUUCUAUACAAAUUUCUACAUUAUUUACUGGUUGUACAGAACAAGAGUGGUCCAAACAAUUAUGUUCUAUCAAUAGUUCCACCAUGUUGCCACUGUUAUGUGAUUUUAUUUUGUAAAACUAAGCAUUACAAGUUCUCACUACAUCCUAGGUACUGCAAUCAUUGGUGCAAUAUCCGUGUGUUCGUGUCAUACAUUAUACGUUGUUUGCCAUAACCCUUCGGGGAACUCCUCAUCGAUUAACCAUUCCUAUUUAUAUACCGGUAUAGUGUUUGACAUCUCAGUUUGAAAUAUAGUGAAAUAUGUAUAUGUAGUAGAAACCUCAUAGGGCUGUUCAAGAAAUGAAUAUAUUCAUAGGGCAGGGAGACACCUUUUUGUGACCUCCACAACUGACAAUCAUUAUUUUCUGUGGUCCUCAAUACAGCUGCUAUAAUAUGUAGGGACCUAGAACGAAGUUAUCCAGAUGUAGGGGUGUUGUGAAUAUAUAACAGGAAGAAAUAGCUUAAGAUGGGAACCCAAUGUUCUAGUUAAAGCAGUUACUGUAAAAUCACUAAUUUUCAUGGGGAUUUUAAUUACAAAAUUUGUAUGUCCACAAACCAAUUUCAGGUUUGAGUGGUAUACUGCCAGCUUUCAUGGGCAAUCGGAAAAUUCAUGCACACAUGGAAUGGGGUUUUGGGAAAACCAUGAAAUUCAAGCCCCACAAAAAUGUGUGAUUUAACAGUAUUUGACUUGUGAAUAAUGAAUUAAGUAUCCACCUUUUGUCAAAAUUCUUGCCCCUCUAUUGCUUACGUCUAUGAAUCAUCCCAGGAAAAGUUCAAAACGUAAAUUAACAGCUUCUUAAACACUGUGUCCGAUUAUCAUUUCCCUCCUACAUAUAUCUCACGGUACUAGUCAUAGAUGGGGGGUUUUACUGGUGCAUGUUGUGUUGGGUGUUAUUGUGUUUUCCUGAGAUGACUUUGCCAGUAUUUGAAAUGAGGCAUGAAUGAUGAUAAUUGGUGGUGUAGUGUUUGGUUUACCAUCUCUGAGAAACCAAAUGUAGUGGAAGAAACUACAGACCUAAUUAUGAUUAAAGUUAGUCCUUUAAUUUUCAUAAUCAUUAUGCAAGGUUUUAUCUAAUAUCUUUUCCAUAAGGAUUGAAGUUUUUGAACUACUCCAGUUUUUUUUGACUGAUGACAGACUGUUAACGUUUUUUUAUGUUUAUUAAAUGUUGAAGCUAGGGGAGUCGGUACAAAAAGUUCAUGACCAUAAUGUUGUGAGAUGUUUCCUGUAUGUUUUAAUUUUCUAAGUAGUCUUUAUCAAAUCCCUAGCCAUAUUAAUGUGAGGGUGUGCUGCUGAGGUUGUGAGAUGUCUAUGAGUGUCUUAAGAGAGAUUCUUACUGUUGUUGUGAGGUGUUUGCUGUACAUGUGUGUUUCAAAUAUCCAAGUGGUCCACCAUGUUUACAUCCAUUAAUGAACAUUGAGGUAUCACAACAGUUACAUCUGAUGUUUAUAUAUGGUGGUGUAUCACCAUGGUUACAUUUGAUGUUUAUAUAUGGUGGUGUAUCACCAUGGUUACAUCUGAUGUUUAUAUAUGAUGGUGUAUCACCAUGGUUACGUCUGAUAUUGAUGUAGGUAUAUCUAUCACCAUGGUUACAUCUGAUAUUGAUGUAGGUAUAUCCAUCACCAUGGUUACAUCUUAUGUUUAUAUAUGAUGGUGUAUUACCAUGGUUACAUCUAUUACAAAUGAUAACUGUUCUUAAAUGUAUGUUCCUGAAAUAAUAAAGUUCAACAUCAUUUAGAUGAGAAGUGCAUCAGGAGACUGGUAAAGUUGUAUUGAGUUGUGUUAUAGUAUUUAUAAGAUUAUAAGAUCUGUUACUGUGGAUUUCAUUAGUUUAACAUGUUUAUUUUGAAGGUGUAAUGUACAGUCUUUGUUUUUGUUAUUUUGUUUAAGUUUAGUUAUUUUAUUACCACAACGUUCAGGCCACUUGAGUUAAGAGUAUUUAGUUUUAUUAUAGAUAUAUAAAUUAUAUAAUGUUCAUUACUCAGUAUUAAUUAUUUAAAACAUUAAGGAGAAGAUAAUUUUAUUAAGUUGUGUGUAAUCAAUUGUUGACACGUAAGCAUGUUCUUCUAAGUAAAUCUAAAAUGAUAUAUAUUUGUAUCCCAUGUUGAUGAAUGAGAGUGUAUUAUUAAAUUUUUCCGAUUUAAAUUGAUUAAUUACUGGUAAUUAAUAUGAUAAGGAAAUAUGAUUUUCAAAUAUAACUUGAUUAAUUAAAUAAUUUAUAGUAUUUAACAUUAAAGAUAAUGUCAAUGAGAGAAUAAACUGGUCCUCACAUAAGAACAGUUGACAUGUCACAUGCUCCAGAACUUGCAGCCAACCUUGGCAGGUUAAACAAGUUAGAUGAAAGUAAACAUGCACUUCAAAGAGCAACUAACACUAUUAUAUUGGGAGUGGUAUUUCUAAUCUAGUCGUAUGUCGUUUUAACCCAGGUAUCAAUUAAUCUGUAUCUUGUAUAUCAUUAUUCUCAUUCCAGUUUAUAAAUCUGAGUGAAGAAUGAGAUAUAUUUUAGGUAGAUGGUAUAUAAUGUAAAAACGUUUCAAACCCUAUAUCUUCAUUGGGUGUAAAGUUGUUGGAUCUUGACUCAGUAACUCAGAAAAGACCCAGUAAGCCCUAACAAUUACAGUAUGAGAGUUAGGAAAAACCAAUAUUAAGCUGGUUAUAUAACUUUAAGAUUUAUACACUUGUUUAACCUAUAUAAACCACAUACUUAAUGAACCAAGAUUUUUAAUAUGCAAGUGUUGGAUUAUACAGGUUCAGGUCACAAUGAAUAAAGUGAAACUUUGUUGCCGGUCUGAUUUCUACAGUCUUCAAUAAGAUUCAUCAGUUUGGAAAUAUGUGAUAACAAAGUACGGUUAAUACAUACAUUGUUUGUGUAAAAAGUAAAACUUGGAUAUCUGAUUUCUACAGGUUUCUAAAUUGAUAAGGUCAUAUCUGUACUGGGUAUGCUGUAUAUAGUCAGUGUCGUCUAAAUAAAGGGCUGGAAAUAGCAGUCAGUCCAUGUUCCAUUACUUUUCAGCAGCUCUGGUAAAUUUUGAACUUGUAUAUGUGAACAGAUAAAUUUUCAAACUGUUACUGGCUUGAAUUCUUUUUAUUUUUCUAAACCUACAAACAUGUGUUCAACUGACUGUAUUGUAAUAAUUUUAUUUUGCAAACAAGUUCAUUUUUAUGUACAUAAAAAAAUUGUUAUUUGAUAUAAAUAUAAAUAUACAUAUACAGCUAAAAUUACAUUAUAUAUACAUAUACCUUGUAUACUGUAGUAUUUACAAUGUUAGUAACACGAUGUUAUGACUAUAAUAAAUACAAGAACUAUU
This 5688-nucleotide unclassified non-coding RNA is filed under the name Mizuhopecten yessoensis (Yesso scallop). Its description in RNAcentral is "uncharacterized LOC110460721, transcript variant X1". The record is from RNAcentral. Lineage: Eukaryota; Metazoa; Mollusca; Bivalvia; Pectinida; Pectinidae.